CUGUAAUCCCAGCAGCUCAGGAGGCUGAGGCUGGAGGAUCAAGAGUUCAAAGUAGGCCUCCGAAACAGCGAGGUGCUAAGCAACUCAAUGAGACGCUGUCUGUAAAUACAAUAUAAAAAUAGGGAUGGGGAUGUGGUUCAGUAGUCAAGUGCCCCGAGUUUAAUCCCCAGUACCCCACAAACCCUGCAAAAAAAAAAAAAAAGAAGAAGAAGAAUGUAUGUUGAGACUGUGGUGUGAGACAGUCUAGUUGCUUCUUGAACUUGGUACUACCCUUGUUGUGGAGGGAAGGUGGGAUAGUAAGCACAGAGAGAAGGGAGAUAGAAUUAAUAUUGUGAAUAACUACUAUUAUAUUACAAGUUCCAAAAAUUAAAGGAAAGAGGAAAUAUACACAACCUCCUUUAAGUUUGUAACUCUCAGCUCUGGUUUAGAUAUGAAAUGAUUGGUUGCUGUGUUUUAAAAUCCUAACAGAAUAACUGUUUAGUGGUUCCAGAUGUUUUUCAUGAAAACUUGGAAUUGUCACAUCAACAGCAAAAGCACAGAAUCUGUCUUCUGUUGGAGAAUGCCAAGCCAGAUCCAGAGGGAAAGCAAAACAGACACCCCUGAUUGCCCCUUUAGCAAUUUUUCCCCACCCAAAGUAUUUGUUCUCCAAGAAGGAACAAAAUAUAUAGGAAAAAUGUUUAUGUGUUCAGAAAAGGUAGAAAAUCUAGAUUUCUAGCCUAUUUCACAAAGCCUACAGCUAGUCAGAAGUAAAAAAAAAAAAAGG
This 763-nucleotide long non-coding RNA is filed under the name Marmota monax (woodchuck). Lineage: Eukaryota; Metazoa; Chordata; Mammalia; Rodentia; Sciuridae. The record is from RNAcentral.